CCUACGGGUGGCAGCAGUGAGGAAUAUUGGUCAAUGGACGGAAGUCUGAACCAGCCAUGCCGCGUGCAGGAAGACGGCUCUAUGAGUUGUAAACUGCUUUUGUACAAGGGUAAACCUGAAUACGUGUAUUCAGCUGAAAGUACUGUACGAAUAAGGAUCGGCUAAAUCCGUGCCAGCAGCCGCGGUAAUACGGAGGAUCCAAGCGUUAUCCGGAUUUAUUGGGUUUAAAGGGUGCGUAGGCGGAUUGAUAAGUUAGAGGUGAAAUGUCCGAGCUUAACUCGGGAUCUGCCUCUAGUACUGUUGGUCUAGAGAGUAGAUGCGGUAGGCGGAAUGUGUGGUGUAGCGGUGAAAUGCUUAGAGAUCAUACAGAACACCGAUUGCGAAGGCAGCUUACCAAUCUAUAUCUGACGUUGAGGCACGAAAGCGUGGGGAGCAAACAGGAUUAGAUACCCCAGUAGUC
This 460-nucleotide ribosomal RNA is filed under the name uncultured bacterium. RNAcentral's name for it is "partial 16S ribosomal RNA". It matches the Rfam family "Bacterial small subunit ribosomal RNA", at positions 338 to 795 of the family's 1533-position model. The record is from RNAcentral.